AUGUGCGCACACGCGGCCUGCAAGUUCUGGGAGGCCGCCUUCGUGGGUAGCGGCCGUGGGAGCCCCGAUCCUCGCGCUCCGGUCAGUCCCGGGGGAGCACCGGGCAUCUGCGGAGGCUCAGGGCGCCCGGGCACCCGGCGAAUGUCUGAACACAGCCCCUUUGUCCUCCGUCCCCGCCCAGCGACCCAGGAUCCCCCCGACUCCCUCCCCUCGGCCAGGGUUCAGGGGGCCCCCCCACACUUGCUGCCCUCAGCCAGGGUUCACGGCCCCCCCACUGGCCACAGGCAGGUCUCUAUGGUCACUCCCACGGCGGAGCUGGACUGCGUGGGGCGCUGUGUUCAGGCCUCAGUGGUGAGUGGCAUGUCCUGGAAGAGGCAGACGCGGGGACACCUCAGCAUCCCCAGGGCGGACAGUGGGGCUGUGUCCUGGACCCCCCUACGGGCAGCAGGUGCGCUGCUCAGCAGGAGGAGGAGAACCGCAAAAGGGUCACGUGGUCUCAGGACAGGACCAGUAAACAGCAGGGGUCCCAAAAGUGCACGUGGAGGGGUGGGUGUGGGGACAAGGGAGGGAAGAGGAAAUGGGGCCAGAGGGGAGCCCGAGCGUCAGCCGUCCACCGAGGGUGAGCGCAGCAGUGGAGCAGGUGGGGGGUCCGCGGUGGGGGGUGGCCCGACAGGCCAGCAGGGCCGCAGGGACAGAGGGGACCCAGCGGGGGGCGGGGCGUGCAUGCUCCUUGCCCAGCAGCGGGGCUGCCCCAGGCCCAGUCACCGCCCCAGCCUCGACCCCUCGUGUGUGGACGGAGGUCACGGCGUGUCGCGGAGGCCACCGCAGGUCACGGGGCUGCAGGCGGAAGGCGGGGCUCACCGGCCGCUCCACCGGAGCCGUGCACCUGCCGCCCCUCCGUGCGGGACACCGCGCGACACCCUCCCGACCUCCUGGCUCAGCCCCCACCGGCAGCGGGGAAAGAAGGAGCCCCGGGGUCACAGCCCGGACGGAGCCCCGCGCCAGCCCCCGUGCUGCGAGGAGAGGGCCCCGGCCGCCAGCGGGCCACGUCCACGCGGGGCCACGUCGUGGGCUCCGCGCCCGGCUCACCGGCGGCCUGUUGUCACCAGCGCUGCCGCCUCCUGCUGGCCUGGCGGGAGCCCGCGCCGCCCCUCGCCCCUGCGCCCCGCGCCACGGGCUGCACCCGCCACCCCUGCCCUUGCUUGUCCGCUCGAGCGCCGACGCCCGCCUCUCCCCGUCCAGCAAACACUAGGCGCCUUCAGGCCAGUGCGGGGGCCUGUGUGCCCCUCAGCCCAGUGCCCUGGCACGUGCACAGCGAACACACCCUGCCGCGAGGCACCUGUGCCCUCCGGGGCGGGGGCAGCCGGGCAUCAGUUGUAA
Molecule: long non-coding RNA, 1380 nt
Filed under: Canis lupus familiaris (dog)
Lineage: Eukaryota; Metazoa; Chordata; Mammalia; Carnivora; Canidae
Description: lncRNA (ENSCAFG00030021243.1)
Source: RNAcentral